GUGUUAGGAUUUAUGGCCUUUGCUUCUAAACCUUCUCCUAUUUAUGGGGGUUUAAGUUUAGUUUUAAGUGGUGGUGGAGUC
This is a long non-coding RNA of Ornithorhynchus anatinus (platypus), 81 nucleotides long. RefSeq lists it as uncharacterized. NCBI's taxonomy places the organism in Eukaryota, Metazoa, Chordata, Mammalia, Monotremata, Ornithorhynchidae. The record is from RefSeq and is a predicted model, not a curated record. The transcript has 3 exons.